RNAcentral lists this ribosomal RNA (478 nucleotides) under uncultured organism. RNAcentral describes it as "partial 16S ribosomal RNA". It matches the Rfam family "Bacterial small subunit ribosomal RNA", at positions 332 to 801 of the family's 1533-position model. The record is from RNAcentral.
UACACUCCUGCGGGAGGCAGCAGUGGGGAAUUUUGGACAAUGGGCGAAAGCCUGAUCCAGCAAUGCCGCGUGAGUGAAGAAGGCCUUCGGGUUGUAAAGCUCUUUUGUCAGGGAAGAAACGGUGAAAGCUAAUAUCUUUUGCUAAUGACGGUACCUGAAGAAUAAGCACCGGCUAACUACGUGCCAGCAGCCGCGGUAAUACGUAGGGUGCAAGCGUUAAUCGGAAUUACUGGGCGUAAAGCGUGCGCAGGCGGUUUUGUAAGUCUGAUGUGAAAUCCCCGGGCUCAACCUGGGAAUUGCAUUGGAGACUGCAAGGCUAGAAUCUGGCAGAGGGGGGUAGAAUUCCACGUGUAGCAGUGAAAUGCGUAGAUAUGUGGAGGAACACCGAUGGCGAAGGCAGCCCCCUGGGUCAAGAUUGACGCUCAUGCACGAAAGCGUGGGGAGCAAACAGGAUUAGAAACCCCGGUAGUCCCAUGAU